This 209-nucleotide long non-coding RNA is filed under the name Elaeis guineensis (African oil palm). Its description in RNAcentral is "long non-coding RNA (EGUI_LNC001344)". The record is from RNAcentral. Lineage: Eukaryota; Viridiplantae; Streptophyta; Magnoliopsida; Arecales; Arecaceae.
GAAGGGAUCUCAGAGCAAAUCUCAACAACGUGCGGCUCGAUCUACUCUUCACAGAACUGAAGAGAACUGAUCAGCCUCCUCAGCAUGGGAAUCUAGUCUCUAUGACUUAGGCCAUGUCCAACAAAUAAUACAGCAGAACACGACAUCAGAAAACACCAUGAAGAAGAAAAAAUAAGGGGAAGAGAACUUUUAUUAAACAAUCUCUCACC